RNAcentral lists this ribosomal RNA (460 nucleotides) under uncultured bacterium. RNAcentral describes it as "partial 16S ribosomal RNA". It matches the Rfam family "Bacterial small subunit ribosomal RNA", at positions 338 to 795 of the family's 1533-position model. The record is from RNAcentral.
CCUACGGGCGGCAGCAGUGGGGAAUAUUGGACAAUGGACGGAAGCCUGAUGCAGCAAUGCCGCGUGCGUGAAGACGGCUCUCGGAGUGUUAAACUGUUUUUGUAGAGAGGUAAACCUGAAUACGUGACUUUAGCUGAAAGUACGGUAAGAAUCAAGAUCGGCUCACGUCGUGCCAGCAGCCGCGGUAAUACGGAGGAUCCAAGCGUUAUCCGGAUUUAUUGGGUUUAAAGGGUGCGUAGGCGGAUCGAUAAGUUAGAGGUGAAAUGUCCGAGCUUAACUCGAGAACUGCAUCGGAUACUGUUGAACUAGAGUGUAGAUGCGGUCGGCGGAAUGUAUGGUGGAGCGGUGAAAUGCGUAGAGAUCAGACAGAACACCGGUGGCGAAGGCAGCUUACCAGUCUAUAUCUGACGUUGAGGCACGAAAGCGUGGGGAGCAAACAGGAUUAGAUACCCCGGUAGUC